GCAUAAUAUUAGGCAGGUGGUCAUAAUGUUAUGGCUGAUCGGUGUACAUGCAUAAUAUUAGGCAGGUGGUCAUAAUGUUAUGGCUGAUCGGUGUACAUGCAUAAUAUUAGGCAGGUGGUCAUAAUGUUAUGGCUGAUCGGUGUACAUGCAUAAUAUUAGGCAGGUGGUCAUAAUGUUAUGGCUGAUCGGUGUACAUGCAUAAUAUUAGGCAGGUGGUUAUAAUGUUAUGGCUGAUCAGUGUACCUCGGAGUGCUUUUCAGGGUUUAAAAAAAGAUCCAGAAUACAGUAAUUGAUUAAUGUGAAUUAGGUUACUUUUUCCCCCCAACCAUGACCUGUUUAAGACCUGACCAGGAAUCUGAUCAUGGCAAAAGGAAUGCAGUACAAAAAAGUAUAAAGAUUGCUGCAUUUACUACUGUAAAUCACUCAGGAUUAAAAUGUAAAAAUCUAUGAUUCUGACCUAUAUAAGAAAUGUUUUCAUCAC
Esox lucius (northern pike) is the source of this 481-nucleotide long non-coding RNA. The record is from Ensembl. NCBI's taxonomy places the organism in Eukaryota, Metazoa, Chordata, Actinopteri, Esociformes, Esocidae.